CCUACGGGUGGCAGCAGUGAGGAAUAUUGGUCAAUGGGCGGAAGCCUGAACCAGCCAAGUAGCGUGCAGGAUGACGGCCCUACGGGUUGUAAACUGCUUUUAUACGGGAAUAACGCGCCUUACGUGUAGGGCUUUGCAUGUAACGUAUGAAUAAGGACUGGCGAAUUCCGUGCCAGCAGCCGCGGGAAUACGGAGGGUCCGGGCGUUAUCCGGAUUUAAUGGGUUUAAAGGGAGUGUAGGCCGCAUGUCAAGCGUGCUGUGAAAUGUCCGGGCUCAACCCGGGCCUUGCUGCGCGAACUGGCGUGCUUGAGUCCGCGGAAAGCAGGCGGAAUUCGUCGUGUAGCGGUGAAAUGCUUAGAUAUGACGAAGAACCCCGAUUGCGAAGGCAGCUUGCUGCAGCGGAACUGACGCUGAUGCUCGAAAGCGCGGGUAUCGAACAGGAUUAGAUACCCUAGUAGUC
Molecule: ribosomal RNA, 460 nt
Filed under: uncultured bacterium
Lineage: Bacteria
Description: partial 16S ribosomal RNA
Rfam family: Bacterial small subunit ribosomal RNA
Source: RNAcentral